UACGUAGGGUGCAAGCGUUGUCCGGAAUUAUUGGGCGUAAAGAGCUCGUAGGCGGUUUGUCGCGUCGAAUGUGAAAACCCGGGGCUCAACCCCGGGCCUGCAUUCGAUACGGGCAGACUAGAGUUCGGUAGGGGAGUCUGGAAUUCCUGGUGUAGCGGUGAAAUGCGCAGAUAUCAGGAGGAACACCGGUGGCGAAGGCGGACGACUGUCGGCGAUACUGACGCUGAGGAGCGAAAGCGUGGGGAGCGAACAGG
RNAcentral lists this ribosomal RNA (254 nucleotides) under uncultured bacterium. RNAcentral's name for it is "partial 16S ribosomal RNA". It matches the Rfam family "Bacterial small subunit ribosomal RNA", at positions 524 to 776 of the family's 1533-position model. The record is from RNAcentral.